CUCCUCUAUACUCUAUUAAGAGAGUUCUAUCUUUUGGCAAUAUCUUUUUUAAAAAUGACAUCCCAUCAGAUGGACGUUGUAUACCAGCUAUUCCUAAAAUUGUUGCAAAUAAGUCAACACUGCUGACAGGUGCAACAAUUUUUGAUGGUGUAAUUCCAGGACCUCGUAUUAAUAAUGGAACUUUAAUAUCUGUUUCAUAUGGUUGGCGUUUAUCUAUUGGCAUACUGAACUGGCCUAAAAUACUUCAUAUACAUUCUCUACAAGUUCAUCAACAGCUAGCAAUGUUUCCCAUCUCC
RNAcentral lists this unclassified non-coding RNA (296 nucleotides) under Bombus terrestris (buff-tailed bumblebee). Its description in RNAcentral is "misc RNA ENSBTSG00005027312.1". Lineage: Eukaryota; Metazoa; Arthropoda; Insecta; Hymenoptera; Apidae. The record is from RNAcentral.